GGGACCUUGGCGCAGUUGGCUAGCGCGCAGGUCUCAUAGCUCUCCUAUGAUCUGGUGAAAUAAAACAUCGGAGUAAUCCUGAGGUCGGGAGUUCGAGCCUCCCAGGUCCCA
Pseudoneurospora amorphoporcata is the source of this 111-nucleotide non-coding RNA. The record is from the annotation of a GenBank genome assembly. NCBI's taxonomy places the organism in Eukaryota, Fungi, Ascomycota, Sordariomycetes, Sordariales, Sordariaceae.